This 253-nucleotide ribosomal RNA is filed under the name uncultured bacterium. RNAcentral describes it as "partial 16S ribosomal RNA". It matches the Rfam family "Bacterial small subunit ribosomal RNA", at positions 524 to 776 of the family's 1533-position model. The record is from RNAcentral.
UACGGAGGGAGCUAGCGUUGUUCGGAAUUACUGGGCGUAAAGCGCACGUAGGCGGCUAUUCAAGUCGGGGGUGAAAGCCCGGGGCUCAACCCCGGAACUGCCCUCGAAACUAGAUAGCUAGAAUCUUGGAGAGGCGAGUGGAAUUCCAGGUGUAGCGGUGAAAUGCGUAGAUAUCUGGAGGAACACCGGUGGCGAAGGCGGCAUCCUGGACCGGUAUUGACGCUGAGGCGCGAAAGCCAGGGGAGCAAACGGG